GAAUUGACGGGGGCCCGCACAAGCAGUGGAGUAUGUGGUUUAAUUCGAAGCAACGCGAAGAACCUUACCAGGUCUUGACAUCCAACGACCGCCUAAGAGAUUAGGCUUUCCUUCGGGACGUUGAGACAGGUGGUGCAUGGNUGUCGUCAGCUCGUGUCGUGAGAUGUUGGGUUAAGUCCCGCAACGAGCGCAACCCUUAUUACUAGUUACUACGCAAGAGGACUCUAGUGAGACUGCCGUUGACAAAACGGA
This 252-nucleotide ribosomal RNA is filed under the name uncultured bacterium. Its description in RNAcentral is "partial 16S ribosomal RNA". It matches the Rfam family "Bacterial small subunit ribosomal RNA", at positions 907 to 1167 of the family's 1533-position model. The record is from RNAcentral.